GGCCCACUGCAGUACGCAGAGAGCAACACUGAAAACCGCCCAAGGGUUCGUGGGAAUAAAGAUGGGGAUAGAAGGGGCGGAAGAGCAGCAGCGAUUUAUGGUGCUGGUGGAGUACUUCAUGUAGUCCAUGGAAAAGAAGAACGGACGGCAGUUUUAGCAUUGCAGUUUGUGGGAGCUCGUAGAGUAGGAGAAAAGUUAUUGUCUGUAAUGUGUUCGUUCUAUUGUCACGGUGUCAAUAUAUGCUCAUCUGAGUCAAAAGGAAGCUCAAGAUGCGAUUUUGAUGCUUCGAGAAAGAUUUUUUCCCUUUCUCCCUCCAGAAAAAGCUGAUUUGUGAGUGCAUUAGGAGGACUUAAUUGCUGGCAAUUUUUUGUUCCUCCCAGUUGAAGGCAUCGACAUGAGAUCAGCUGGUUGUAAAACAUAACAAUAGAAAAAAAGAGCUAGAGAUAUUGUCAGUUGUUAUGAAUUAUGAUCAAAUGCUUAAGUUUUAUUAUGAUUGGAAUCAAAUUUAUAAAUAUUGAUUAUCUAAAGGCUGGAUCAAGAAAGUCCGAUAACUUUUGAAA
This is a long non-coding RNA of Phoenix dactylifera (date palm), 560 nucleotides long. RefSeq lists it as uncharacterized. NCBI's taxonomy places the organism in Eukaryota, Viridiplantae, Streptophyta, Magnoliopsida, Arecales, Arecaceae. The record is from RefSeq and is a predicted model, not a curated record.